UAUCCAUGGUUUCUAUAUUUCUCAGAUUUAUUUCUUUUCUGUGUUGAUAACUUUCAAGUUUAUCUUCAUAGAAUUCAAUUUCAUUUUCUAUAGUUAAUAAAGCUUUAUUACGCAAUCUAUUAUAUCUAAUUAUGUCUUUGCAGGUUUUAAUAUUGUGUUUAACACAAUCUAUUUUUCUAUUUAUGUUACUGAGGGUUUUAAGAAGUUUCCAUUUCUGGGUGUUAUAGAAUCUUAUAUAAUGAAAAGUGUUAUGUUUCAUUUAUAAACAGNGAUAUGUGAUCGUUAAUCUGAAUAUAAAUCAAGUUCAUAUAGAUCUAAUAUAUCUAUUUCUUGUGAUACAAUUAGUUUUGUAAAUGCUUGUUCCAUUACAUAUAUUAUUUCAAAAGUAACUAAAAUAUCAUAAAUUUUUCUUUUAACAUCGUUAUUAAGUCUGUUAAAGAUAUAUAAUAUAAGUAUUUUGUACUCAAUAUUUUCUUCUAAUAAAUACGUGUGGUUGUGGUUGUUCAUUCAGAUUUACUAUUUAUCCUUAUCAUGCCUGUUGAUACAUAUAUCCAUGGUUUUUAUAUUUCUCAGAUUUAUUUCUUUUCUGUGUUGAUAACUUUCAAGUUUAUCUUCAUAGAAUUCAAUUUCAUUUUCUAUAGUUAAUAAAGCUUUAUUACGCAAUCUAUUAUAUCUAAUUAUGUCUUUGCAGGUUUUAAUAUUGUGUUUAACACAAUCUAUUUUUCUAUUUAUGUUACUGAGGGUUUUAAGAAGUUUCUAUCAAACAUGAUCAAACUCAAAAUUAAAAUAUUCCUAUAGUCCAUUGACUGCUAACAGUCCGUAAAUUUACAACAUGCUCCUAAAUACAACUAUGUAUCUAAAGGAAAAGAAAUAA
RNAcentral lists this long non-coding RNA (874 nucleotides) under Nicotiana tabacum (common tobacco). Its description in RNAcentral is "long non-coding RNA (NTAB_LNC014627)". The record is from RNAcentral. Lineage: Eukaryota; Viridiplantae; Streptophyta; Magnoliopsida; Solanales; Solanaceae.